Molecule: ribosomal RNA, 637 nt
Filed under: Leptographium sinoprocerum
Lineage: Eukaryota; Fungi; Ascomycota; Sordariomycetes; Ophiostomatales; Ophiostomataceae
Description: eukaryotic LSU rRNA
Rfam family: Eukaryotic large subunit ribosomal RNA
Source: RNAcentral
UUGACCUCGGAUCAGGUAGGACUACCCGCUGAACUUAAGCAUAUCAAUAAGCGGAGGAAAAGAAACCAACAGGGAUUGCCCCAGUAACGGCGAGUGAAGCGGCAACAGCUCAGAUUUGGAAUCUGGCCCCCAGGGCCCGAGUUGUAAUCUGGAGAGGAUGCUUCUGGCGCGGCGCCUUCCGAGUUCCCUGGAACGGGACGCCGGAGAGGGUGAGAGCCCCGUACGGUUGGACGCCUAGCCUUUGUGAAGCUCCUUCGACGAGUCGAGUAGUUUGGGAAUGCUGCUCAAAAUGGGAGGUAAAUUUCUUCUAAAGCUAAAUACCGGCCAGAGACCGAUAGCGCACAAGUAGAGUGAUCGAAAGAUGAAAAGCACUUUGAAAAGAGGGUCAAACAGUACGUGAAAUUGUUGAAAGGGAAGCGCCCGUGGCCAGACUUGUGCCCCGCGGACCACCCGGCGCCCUCAGCGCCGGUGCACUCCGCGGGGCGCAGGCCAGCAUCGGUUUUCCUAGGGGGAUAAAGGCGGCGGGAACGUGGCUCCUUCGGGAGUGUUAUAGCCCGUCGUGCCAUGCCCCUGGGGGGACCGAGGACCGCGCUUCGGCAAGGAUGCUGGCGUAAUGGCCACCGGCGACCCGUCUUGA